Molecule: ribosomal RNA, 1392 nt
Filed under: Enterococcus durans
Lineage: Bacteria; Bacillati; Bacillota; Bacilli; Lactobacillales; Enterococcaceae
Description: bacterial SSU rRNA
Rfam family: Bacterial small subunit ribosomal RNA
Source: RNAcentral
CUUCUUUUUCACCGGAGCUUGCUCCACCGGAAAAAGAAGAGUGGCGAACGGGUGAGUAACACGUGGGUAACCUGCCCAUCAGAAGGGGAUAACACUUGGAAACAGGUGCUAAUACCGUAUAACAAUCGAAACCGCAUGGUUUUGAUUUGAAAGGCGCUUUCGGGUGUCGCUGAUGGAUGGACCCGCGGUGCAUUAGCUAGUUGGUGAGGUAACGGCUCACCAAGGCCACGAUGCAUAGCCGACCUGAGAGGGUGAUCGGCCACAUUGGGACUGAGACACGGCCCAAACUCCUACGGGAGGCAGCAGUAGGGAAUCUUCGGCAAUGGACGAAAGUCUGACCGAGCAACGCCGCGUGAGUGAAGAAGGUUUUCGGAUCGUAAAACUCUGUUGUUAGAGAAGAACAAGGAUGAGAGUAACUGUUCAUCCCUUGACGGUAUCUAACCAGAAAGCCACGGCUAACUACGUGCCAGCAGCCGCGGUAAUACGUAGGUGGCAAGCGUUGUCCGGAUUUAUUGGGCGUAAAGCGAGCGCAGGCGGUUUCUUAAGUCUGAUGUGAAAGCCCCCGGCUCAACCGGGGAGGGUCAUUGGAAACUGGGAGACUUGAGUGCAGAAGAGGAGAGUGGAAUUCCAUGUGUAGCGGUGAAAUGCGUAGAUAUAUGGAGGAACACCAGUGGCGAAGGCGGCUCUCUGGUCUGUAACUGACGCUGAGGCUCGAAAGCGUGGGGAGCAAACAGGAUUAGAUACCCUGGUAGUCCACGCCGUAAACGAUGAGUGCUAAGUGUUGGAGGGUUUCCGCCCUUCAGUGCUGCAGCUAACGCAUUAAGCACUCCGCCUGGGGAGUACGACCGCAAGGUUGAAACUCAAAGGAAUUGACGGGGGCCCGCACAAGCGGUGGAGCAUGUGGUUUAAUUCGAAGCAACGCGAAGAACCUUACCAGGUCUUGACAUCCUUUGACCACUCUAGAGAUAGAGCUUCCCCUUCGGGGGCAAAGUGACAGGUGGUGCAUGGUUGUCGUCAGCUCGUGUCGUGAGAUGUUGGGUUAAGUCCCGCAACGAGCGCAACCCUUAUUGUUAGUUGCCAUCAUUUAGUUGGGCACUCUAGCAAGACUGCCGGUGACAAACCGGAGGAAGGUGGGGAUGACGUCAAAUCAUCAUGCCCCUUAUGACCUGGGCUACACACGUGCUACAAUGGGAAGUACAACGAGUCGCGAAGUCGCGAGGCUAAGCUAAUCUCUUAAAGCUUCUCUCAGUUCGGAUUGUAGGCUGCAACUCGCCUACAUGAAGCCGGAAUCGCUAGUAAUCGCGGAUCAGCACGCCGCGGUGAAUACGUUCCCGGGCCUUGUACACACCGCCCGUCACACCACGAGAGUUUGUAACACCCGAAGUCGGUGAG